This 262-nucleotide long non-coding RNA is filed under the name Brassica napus (rape). RNAcentral's name for it is "long non-coding RNA (BNAP_LNC009485)". The record is from RNAcentral. Lineage: Eukaryota; Viridiplantae; Streptophyta; Magnoliopsida; Brassicales; Brassicaceae.
GCGCCGUCACGAGAUCGAAGAUGGUAGAACCCAUCUUUGUUCGCCAAAGGAGCAAAGUAAUAAGAAUAUAAUAUCUCUUGCACCCCGAUGGAAAAUCCAUGGAGUUCUCCGAAUACUUGUAGAGCCAUUAAAGUCCUCCAGGUUAGGGGAGUAAGUUGAGAAGGACUGAAACCAAAGAAAGAUGACACUUCGCCUAUAAGAGAAGGAAUAGCACCCCGGAAACCUGCUUCCAGGUAUGCUUCAUAGACAGCCACCUCACCCG